UACAGAGGUCCCGAGCGUUGUUCGGAUUCACUGGGCGUAAAGGGUGCGUAGGCGGUCGGGUAAGUCUGAUGUGAAAUCUCACAGCUUAACUGUGAAACUGCAUUGGAUACUAUUCGGCUUGAGAGUUGGAGGGGGGGACUGGAAUUCUUGGUGUAGCAGUGAAAUGCGUAGAUAUCAAGAGGAACACCAGUGGCGAAGGCGAGUCCCUGGACAACUUCUGACGCUGAGGCACGAAAGCUAGGGGAGCAAACAGG
RNAcentral lists this ribosomal RNA (254 nucleotides) under uncultured bacterium. RNAcentral describes it as "partial 16S ribosomal RNA". It matches the Rfam family "Bacterial small subunit ribosomal RNA", at positions 524 to 776 of the family's 1533-position model. The record is from RNAcentral.